RNAcentral lists this ribosomal RNA (440 nucleotides) under uncultured bacterium. RNAcentral's name for it is "partial 16S ribosomal RNA". It matches the Rfam family "Bacterial small subunit ribosomal RNA", at positions 338 to 795 of the family's 1533-position model. The record is from RNAcentral.
CCUACGGGAGGCAGCAGUGGGGAAUAUUGCACAAUGGGCGAAAGCCUGAUGCAGCAACGCCGCGUGAGUGAAGAAGGAUUUCGGUAUGUAAAGCUCUUUCAGCAGGGAAGAGAAUGACGGUACGUGACUAAGAAUCACCGGCUAACUACGUGACAGAAGCCGCGGUAAUACGCCGGGGGCGAGCGUUAUACGGUGUUACUGGGUGGAAAGGGAGCGUAGACGGUUCUGCAAGUCUGAAGUGAAAGCCCGUGGUUUAACCGCGGAACGGCUGUGGAAACUGUGGAACUAGAGUGCUGGAGAGGAAGGCGGAAUGUCUGGUGUAGCGGUGAAAUGCGUAGAUAUUAGGAGGAACACCAGUAGCGAAGGCGGCUUGCUGGGCAGUAACUGACGUUGAGGCUCGAAAGCGUGGGGAGCAAACAGGAUUAGAUACCCCAGUAGUC